Molecule: ribosomal RNA, 254 nt
Filed under: uncultured bacterium
Lineage: Bacteria
Description: partial 16S ribosomal RNA
Rfam family: Bacterial small subunit ribosomal RNA
Source: RNAcentral
UACGUAGGGGGCGAGCGUUGUCCGAAGUUACUGGGCGUAAAGCGCGCGUAGGCGGUUUCUUAAGUUUGGGGUGAAAGGUUCAGCGCUCAACGUGAACAGUGCCUUGAAUACUGGGGAGCUUGAAUGUGGCAGAGGGUCAUGGAAUUUCCGGUGUAGCGGUGAAAUGCGUAGAUAUCGGAAGGAACAUCAAUGGCGAAGGCAGUGACCUGGGCUAACAUUGACGCUGAGGUGCGAAAGCGUGGGGAGCGAACGGG